UAGAGUUGUGCUCACUUGACAAUAUAUCGAGCUAGCGGCGCUGUUUCACCAAAAUUUCACCUCUCUCUGCCAUUGUUAUGUUGCAUUUGCAAAGAAUCGAUCUACAAGCGAUGGAAAAAAAAUUCGAUUCAGGGACUAUCAUAUCAAAUUUUUUUCUCGAACGUCUGCGAUUUCUCUAAUUAAAAUCAAGAACAAGAAAGAAAUAAAGAAAGAAAGAAGAAUUGACAUGGCUGGCAUUCGUUUUAAUGAAGGUAAAAAUUAUGCAUGUAUCCUCUUUUCAUUUGUUUGAGUGGGAACCCUCAUAUUCAGAAUUAUUUUGAAUUUGAUUUGAUCUUUUCAUUUGAGGAUAUUUGUUCAUCUUUCCUAUGCAUCUAUAGGAUAUGUCCUUUCAACACUAGUCAGUGAAUGACUGAUUAUAUUGUUUUAUAUAUUUGCUCUCCAUGCAACAUAAUUUUUAUUAUGUAUUUAGUUUAUCUUUUUUUUUUUUUUUAAAGGAACGAUUUAUACUGAUAUAUUAUAUAUAUUGUGAUCUACUCAUUAUGUGACAGAGUGUCAAAAUGUUUUUGUGUUUUGUUAGAUCUGUUGAUUCUUUGUUACGGUCUUGUGAUAAUUAAUCAUAGGCUUAAUUAUGUAAAAGAUCCCUGUAAGUUCGUGUAUUUUUAUUUUUAGUAUUUGUAUCUUUUUUUUCUUUCAAAAACAAACUUUAUAAGUUGGUCCUUAACGUCAACUUCUGUUAAAAAAACGUUGUGCUGGUUAACAGAGACACACGUGACACUUGGUGAGAUGGCAUAAUACACUUAUUUGGCAUGAUAAGUGACGUGACUAGAACUAAAACUAAAACCAAAAACAAAUAUUUGCAUAGGGAUGAAAUUGAAAAAAAAAAACGUAAACAUUGAAUUUUGAAAUUUUAAAACCAAUCUUUCUAUAUUCUUCAUCUCUCUGUUUUUGCUUUCGUCUCUAUAUCAUCUCUGCCAUGUUAUUGUUUGGAGACCUGAAAUCAAAAUUGUUAAACUGAUAUUUUGGCCAACCACAUUUUGAUUGAUAAUUAGACAAUAGAUCAAAAGAUUCUUCAAUGAAUAUUUUUUAUUACUUUCAUAUCAAAACAUUGAGAAAUGCUUCUAUUAGUAGACAAGAUCCAACAAAUAAAAUUUAAUUUGUGUCAUGUGGAAAAGAUCUGCUGAAUUUUCUGAAAAUGUAUCCUUCAUAGAAGACUACCUAUCUUUGUUGAACCUCGUUUCCCUCAUGUUCUGGUGAUAGAAAUAAAUUGCAUGGUUCUGCCAAACCAGAUGUCGUGACAGAAUCAUGCAAUUUAUUUCCAUCACCGGAGUGUGAUUCACAACAAGGGUAGCUAGGUUUAACAAAGGUAGGCAGCCUUUUUCACUACAUCUUAAUUUCACUGUACCUUGGUGACCACGAGAAACCGGAUCCUCAUACAUAGCAAGAUGCAUCUUCGCCUUCGGUAAAAAAUACACUUUCAGAAAAUUCAGUAGAUAUUUUCCACAUAAUACAAAUAAAAUUUCAUUUUUUGGAUCUUGUCUAGGUAGAAGCAUUUCUCAAGGUUUUGAUCAAAGUAACCCACACAAGAAUAUCUUGUGCACAAUAGAAUACUUUGGUGAAGUCAUAACUUUUGACAUCACUUAUUUAACAAAUAAAUAUGAUAUGGCUUUUGACCCUUUUGUUGGAGUAAAUCAUCACGGCCAAUCUGUGUUGUUGGGUUAUUCACCACGUGGUUAGAAUGCAUGUAUGUACGCACUCAAAAUGCCAUUAUUACUGAUCAGGAUAAGGCAAUGAAAAAGGCAAUUGAAGUUGUCUUCCCAAAAGCCCGUCAUAGAUGGUGCUUAUGGCAUUUAAUGAAAAAGGUACUCGAAACGUUUGGUAGGCUCUCAGAAUAUGAGUUUCUUAAAGCAAUUUUGCAUGAUAUUGUAUAUAAUUCUUUGAGCAAAAGUGAUUUCAUAGAGAGGUAGGAAAAAAUGAUUGAAUGUUAUGAACUAUAUGAUAAUGAAUGGUUGAAAGGUAUAUUUGAUAAGCGACAUUGUUGGGUUCUUGUGUAUGUGAGGGACAUUUUUUUUGGUCAACGACAAAAGAGGGAUGGUCUGGAUUCUGCGUUCAGUUUAACUAUUUCAAGCCACGCCGCUUGGGUUUUGCAAGAUGAACAGUAACCCGAGCUAGGGGUUGUCCAUCGCCGUCUGUAGCAGAGGGUUUUCCGUCGCCUCUUGUAGCCAAAGCUCCGCCACCGCUUUCCUUGCUUUCACGGUUCCGAUCUGGUAGGAUUUUUCGAUUCUAGGUUUUCUCAAAAUGAAUUUCUAGGUCGAUUCACUACUGCCAGAUUGUUUCCAGUUCUGAUUGUGAGGAUUGUUGAGGUUUCUGCUGGUUCAAUUAGAUUUCUGGAUUUCUCUCUCUCUGAUUUAGAUUUUUGUCUAGCUUCUGCAAUAUCAAACCGUUCUGUUUAAUUUUGUAUGUGGUUGUUGUUUGGCUAAUUGUGAUUUUGCCAUGGAAAAACAAUUAUUCUAUUCCGGUUCUCUUUUGAACGUCAAUGAAUUUUCUGGGGUGUUUUUAAAUGUGCCCCAGUUUGGAGAUCCCAACUUAAAUGUUGUGAUUUCAGACAGGCCUUCUGCUGAACAGGUUGUCGAAAAGCCGGUGUCGGCUUUGGAUAAAGUUGCUUCUUACAAAGAAGUUGUGGUUCCUAUCGUGAAGGGUACAUGUGCAAAAUCUUUUGCUCAAGUGUUGAGUAAUUCGUGUGUUAUCCGCAGUGUCAAUUUCCGAUGUUUAGUUUGAAAGGAGAUGAUAUUGGUAUCAAAAUUCUUGAGGACGAGUACAAGUUUAAUGUUGAAUCGGGCUGAAAUCACCUUCAUGGAAGGCUGAUUUUAUCUAAAGGAGACCAUCCUCUAAAACUUGAAGACUUUUGUGCUAAGUUGAAUACUCUCUGGAAGGCUUUGAGUAAAUGGGGAAUUGUUUCUUUAGGAAGAGGCUUCUAUGAAUUUGUUUUUUCUUCUGCUGAGGAUGUUAAACAUGUUCGUGCAGUGCUUACUUGGAGCCUAAAGCGUGGUUUUCUCAAACUUUUUGCUCGGUCUCCCGACUUUAAUUCGAACAAUCACAAACAAACAACAACGCAAUGCUGGGUUCGUUUUCUGGAAUUGCCUCAAGAAUAUUGGAGUCCUAAUAUUCUCUCUGCAUUUGCUAGUUGUCUCGAAACGCCUAUGUGUUUGGAUGCUGCAACAAGUAAGUGUCCUAUAGAGAGAUAUUUUGGUCAUUUUGCUAGAGUUUUAAUUGACAUUGAUUUAUCUGCUAAAAUAAGACAUAAAUUGUGGGUUGAAAGAGAAGGUUAUGUUUUUCUUGUUAAUGUUGAAUAUGAAAAUCUACCACUUUUUUGUUUGCAUUGCCGUAA
Molecule: long non-coding RNA, 3385 nt
Organism: Medicago truncatula (barrel medic)
Lineage: Eukaryota; Viridiplantae; Streptophyta; Magnoliopsida; Fabales; Fabaceae
Exons: 2
Source: RefSeq, a predicted model, not a curated record